This 76-nucleotide transfer RNA is filed under the name Gammaproteobacteria bacterium. Its description in RNAcentral is "tRNA-Glu". It matches the Rfam family "tRNA". From Rfam's summary of the family: Transfer RNA (tRNA) molecules are approximately 80 nucleotides in length. Their secondary structure includes four short double-helical elements and three loops (D, anti-codon, and T loops). The record is from RNAcentral. RNAcentral also lists the same sequence under 2 other names. Lineage: Bacteria; Pseudomonadati; Pseudomonadota; Gammaproteobacteria.
GCUCCCAUCGUCUAGCGGUUCAGGACGCUGCCCUCUCACGGCGGUAACAGGGGUUCGAAUCCCCUUGGGAGUACCA